GGCAGGUGGGUCCCCCCCGAGCCGGCAGCUGGGACCCCCCCAAGGGCAGGAUGGAUCUGGACGAGCCGUACAACGGGGGCCCGGCACCGGGCGCCCACAGUGGGUCCAGCGUGGCAAUCAUCGGGGCUGAGGACGAGGAUUUUGAGAAUGACAUUGAGCCGACGCCGGAGGACCACAGCAGCGUGUUCCAGAGCAUGGUGGUGGUGAAGACGCACCCGGCCUAUCUCAUGGCCUUUCUCCAGCAUGUGGUUCUGCAGUUCGACUCCUGC
This is a long non-coding RNA of Terrapene triunguis (Three-toed box turtle), 269 nucleotides long. RefSeq lists it as uncharacterized. Lineage: Eukaryota; Metazoa; Chordata; Testudines; Emydidae. The transcript has 3 exons. The record is from RefSeq and is a predicted model, not a curated record.